UGAUGUAUAUCAAACCUAACAACCAUUUACCUACCUUGAAUAUAUGUAUUUCUUACGAUACCUUUGAUGACUGUGAGUGACAUGAUGUAUUUGUGUAACAACUAUAGCAAACUCAACGUGGCAAUUAUUCCAAAUGAUUUGUUGCCAGCCAGUUGACAGUCUUUGGCUGAAAGUUUAAAAACAAUCAGUUGCUGUGUCGAUCUGCUCCUCGAUAGACUGUGAACAUGACCUGACUCAAUUCGAUCCUGAACUAAACCGAGGCCGUGCCUUAACCAGAACAAAGGAGCCAUGAUCACUGAAACCUGCACUACUAAAAGCAGAGGCGAUGACAGUAAUGAUAGCUACUGGUUAUCUAUUAUUACUAAUUAUAGCUACAGUAAUGAUGGCUACUGUACAACUUAGAUAGCUGUACUUUGAGAAAGAGUUACACUGCAUUUAGUGAUGAAACUGUUUGUCAGUUGAUAUUUCAUGAGUUGAUACCUACAUAUAAUGACGUUUUGUUAGAAUAGCUUCUCGACAUUGUGAGCCAGGUCUAUCAAUUGUUGACUUGUAAUAGAUGGCAUGCAUUUUGUAUGUAAAACUACA
Long non-coding RNA from Corticium candelabrum, 585 nucleotides. RefSeq lists it as uncharacterized. NCBI's taxonomy places the organism in Eukaryota, Metazoa, Porifera, Homoscleromorpha, Homosclerophorida, Plakinidae. The record is from RefSeq and is a predicted model, not a curated record. The transcript is spliced from 2 exons.